GAGUGCGCGCUUGUAGCAAUACAGUGGCGCACGGCGCACGGGUGCGUACACGUGGGUAACCUGCCCUUUGGUGGGGAAUAACCUCGCGAAAGCGAGGCUAAUUCCGCAUAAGAUCCGCAAGGAUGAAAGCCGCAAGGCGCCGAAGGAGGGGCCCGCGCACGAUUAGUUAGUUGGUAGGGUAACGGCCUACCAAGACUAUGAUCGUUAGCUGGUCUGAGAGGAUGGCCAGCCACACUGGAACUGAGACACGGUCCAGACUCCUACGGGAGGCAGCAGUGGGGAAUCUUGCGCAAUGGGCGAAAGCCUGACGCAGCGACGCCGCGUGGGGGAUGAAGCUUCUCGGAGUGUAAACCCCUUUCGACUGGGACGAAUACCUCGCAAGAGGGGUGACGGUACCAGUAGAAGAAGCCCCGGCUAACUACGUGCCAGCAGCCGCGGUAAG
This 442-nucleotide ribosomal RNA is filed under the name uncultured bacterium. RNAcentral's name for it is "bacterial SSU rRNA". It matches the Rfam family "Bacterial small subunit ribosomal RNA", at positions 64 to 524 of the family's 1533-position model. The record is from RNAcentral.